UCUCAGCCCCGAUAGAAGCGACAUCCUUUCCUGCCGGGGUUCGGCAGGAAAGAUAUAGUGGAUAGCGGGACCAAUC
Molecule: small RNA, 76 nt
Filed under: Flavobacterium aquicola
Lineage: Bacteria; Pseudomonadati; Bacteroidota; Flavobacteriia; Flavobacteriales; Flavobacteriaceae
Description: Flavo-1 RNA
Rfam family: Flavo-1 RNA
Source: RNAcentral